This 497-nucleotide ribosomal RNA is filed under the name uncultured bacterium. Its description in RNAcentral is "partial 16S ribosomal RNA". It matches the Rfam family "Bacterial small subunit ribosomal RNA", at positions 28 to 507 of the family's 1533-position model. The record is from RNAcentral.
GAUGAACGCUGGCGGCGUGCCUAAUACAUGCAAGUCGAGCGAACAGACGAGGAGCUUGCUCCUCUGACGUUAGCGGCGGACGGGUGAGUAACACGUGGAUAACCUACCUAUAAGACUGGGAUAACUUCGGGAAACCGGAGCUAAUACCGGAUAAUAUAUUGAACCGCAUGGUUCAAUAGUGAAAGACGGUUUUGCUGUCACUUAUAGAUGGAUCCGCGCCGCAUUAGCUAGUUGGUAAGGUAACGGCUUACCAAGGCAACGAUGCGUAGCCGACCGGAGAGGGUGAUCGGCCACACUGGAACGGAGACACGGUCCAGACUCCUACGGGAGGCAGCAGUAGGGAAUCGUCCGCAAUGGGCGAAAGCCUGACGGAGCAACGCCGCGUGAGUGAUGAAGGUCUUCGGAUCGUAAAACUCUGUUAUUAGGGAAGAACAAAUGUGUAAGUAACUAUGCACGUCUUGACGGUACCUAAUCAGAAAGCCACGGCUAACUACGUG